AAUAUUCUUCAAUGGAGGCAUCUCUGAACCAGCCAUGCCGCGUUCUGGAUGACGGNCCNNUGGAUNGNUUACUGCUUUUGUCCNNNNNUCAUAUAUACUCCGUGUAGUACAUUCACGUUACUGUAAGAAUAUGUAUCGCCUAACUCCGUGCCCUCAACCGCGGUAAUACGUACGAUCCAAACGUUAUCCGGAACCAUUGGGUGUAAAGGGUCCGUAGGCGGACUUAUAAGUCAGCGGUGAAAGUUUUUGGCUUAACCAAAAAAUUGCCGAUGAUACUGUAGUGAUUGAAUUUUUGUGAAGUAACUAGAAUAUGUAGUGUAGCGGUGAAAUGCUUAGAUAAUACAUGGAAUACCAAUUGCGAAGGAAGAUUACUAACAAACGAUUGACGCAGAUGGACGAAAGCGUGGGUAGCGAACAG
This 418-nucleotide ribosomal RNA is filed under the name uncultured bacterium. RNAcentral describes it as "partial 16S ribosomal RNA". It matches the Rfam family "Bacterial small subunit ribosomal RNA", at positions 360 to 775 of the family's 1533-position model. The record is from RNAcentral.